GAUGAACGCUAGCUACAGGCUUAACACAUGCAAGUCGCGGGGUAACGAGAGGGAAGCUUGCUUUCCUUGUCGACGACCGGCGCACGGGUGAGUAACGCGUAUCCAACCUGCCCAUUACCACGGGAUACCCCGUCGAAAGGCGGCCUAAUACCGUAUGCAGUCGUCAGAUGACAUCAGAGGACGACGAAAGGAUUGGCGGUAAUGGAUGGGGAUGCGUCUGAUUAGGUAGUUGGAGGGGUAACGGCCCACCAAGCCAUCGAUCAGUAGGGGUUCUGAGAGGAAGGUCCCCCACAUUGGAACUGAGACACGGUCCAAACUCCUACGGGAGGCAGCAGUGAGGAAUAUUGGUCAAUGGGCGCGAGCCUGAACCAGCCAAGUAGCGUGAGGGAUGACGGCCCUAUGGGUUGUAAACCUCUUUUAUGCGGGAAUAAAAUGUUUGACGUGUCAUACAUUGUAGGUACCGCAAGAAUAAGGACCGGCUAAUUCCGUG
This 490-nucleotide ribosomal RNA is filed under the name uncultured bacterium. RNAcentral describes it as "bacterial SSU rRNA". It matches the Rfam family "Bacterial small subunit ribosomal RNA", at positions 28 to 507 of the family's 1533-position model. The record is from RNAcentral.